Molecule: long non-coding RNA, 552 nt
Organism: Stylophora pistillata
Lineage: Eukaryota; Metazoa; Cnidaria; Anthozoa; Scleractinia; Pocilloporidae
Source: RefSeq, a predicted model, not a curated record
AUUCAUUCAAAUAAAUAAGAAAAAGUAAAAGAUUGGAAAGACAUUGACAAGACUUCGAAGAGGGCUAAAGAAUAUGGCAACCAGGAACUUUAUAUUGCUUUGUGUCUUCCUUUCCAGUUUCUGGUUCAUCUGUGGCAGACCAUUGGAAGAUCAAGGUGCUCUGGUUCAGACAGAAAUGGACGACGGAUUGACGAGUAGAGAAGUCGCUAUCGCUCAAGGUCACCGCUUUAACAAGCCCGUAAAGAAGUCUUUCACUUACGGCACAGGGUAUGGUCAUUACCCCAAUCCUGAUGAUUAUGAAGAUCUGGAGACGUCGCAAUACCUCACUGAUCUCGAGCAGUUUUACAACUAUUGGUUUGGAGGUUAACUCACUGCCACUUAGAAAUUAUCUUUUAAUUGACGUAUUAAUCACGUAAAGGUCCAACUCUGUUUAGGUUCGUUAUAACGUCCGCGUAGCAGCAGAGAAAAAAAGGCUGACAUAGGUUUGGCCUUCAAUAAAUUAUUGCAUGUAACAUGUAACAUGUUUUUGCUAAACGUUGGCAUGAAAUAAAC